GACUACUGGUGUAUCUAAUCCUGUUUGAUACCCACACUUUCGAGCAUCAAUGUCAGUCACAGUUUAGUAAGCUGCCUUCGCAAUCGGGGUUCUUCGUGAUAUCUAAGCAUUUCACCGCUACACCACGAAUUCCGCUUACCUCAACUGUACUCAAGGAUGCCAGUAUCAACUGCAAUUUUACGGUUGAGCCGCAAACUUUCACAACUGACUUAACAACCCGCCUACGCUCCCUUUAAACCCAAUAAAUCCGGAUAACGCUCGGAUCCUCCGUAUUACCGCGGCUGCUGGCACGGAGUUAGCCGAUCCUUAUUCAUAAGGUACAUGCAAAGCAGUAUACAUACUGCACUUUAUUCCCAUAUAAAAGAAGUUUACAACCCAUAGGGCAGUCAUCCUUCACGCUACUUGGCUGGUUCAGGCUAGCGCCCAUUGACCAAUAUUCCUCACUGCUGCCACCCGUAGG
This 460-nucleotide ribosomal RNA is filed under the name uncultured bacterium. RNAcentral's name for it is "partial 16S ribosomal RNA". The record is from RNAcentral.